AGAGAGCUGAGAACACAGGGGCCAUCAGCCUCGCUAUCACCUCCACCCCCAAGUGCUUGGCUCCCCAAGGGACAGCUCUAAAAUCCCCAGAAUCUCAGGCUGGUGGGUCCAGCUGAGCAUCCUAGUUUUCACUUUCUCCUCCCAAAAAGGAAAGAACCUUGGUCACUAAAUUCUACGCCUUCUGGAAAUCACUCUGCUAAUGACUUCCUGAAUGAUCGACUGAGACCAACAGCUGGCCCAGCCCUGCAUGGAGGAGUAAGAAACCCUCAUCUGUCAGAGUUAAGGGGCCUGAAUGGGUACAGGUCACAUUCUUGGAGCUCAAGGUGACAGGCCAGAGCCCAGGUCCCCAGGACAGUGCAGCACCUUGUCCAGGCGGGCCUCCCGUUUCUGGCUCCGGGCUGAGCUUCCUGGAGAAGAGGAAGGGAGCCCACAGCUGUGGGAGGGGCUGCUACUGCUGCCGCUGCUGCCGCUGCCGCCGCUGCCGCUGCCGCCGCCAUUGGACAAACCUCACCAGUACCUGCACAGGAGAAACACCACGGAUCACAGCGCGAUCUGAAUGGGUGCGUGCUGGUAAAGCCCGGCCCGUGUACUCCACCUGCCCCAGGAGCUGGAGACAAGACCUUGUGGCUGCGCAGCGGAAACCUUGCCUUGUGACCCCUGGAACUGGCUUUCUUGACUACUCCUUCCCCAGAGCAGCCAAGUUCCACUCCCGCUUUCCCCACACAUUACCAGGAGGUUCAACCUCUCUGGCAGAUCAUCUCUUCCAACCAGGACUUCUUAGAGUCUAAUGAUGUUCAUUCAGGUGUCCCCCCGCUGCUCCCUUGACCUCUUGUAGGAAUCUAGACGCCACGAGCUCUUGGCUACAGCACCCUUAACCCGUAUCCGUGGCAAGGCGUCUGGCCAGGCGCCCACCCUCUGCCCCUGGCCCUCCCGGCAGCCCUCGGCAUGUACCUUUGU
This 957-nucleotide long non-coding RNA is filed under the name Homo sapiens (human). RNAcentral describes it as "HSALNT0385260". Lineage: Eukaryota; Metazoa; Chordata; Mammalia; Primates; Hominidae. The record is from RNAcentral.